CGGCCUUUGCGACAGGUCGGCGCGGCAGAGCAUUGUGGGGAGGGAGGGCCGGCGCCCGGAAGCGGAGGCGCGCAUGCGCCGUGGCCGCAGCGGACCCGGCGUGCGUCGGGAUAGGACGAGGGAAAAGGACGACGCGUCCCCACGUGACGUCGUCGAGGCCCCCGGCCCUUCCGGGGCGGCGGCGAGCCCGAGGCGGAAGCUCGUAUACCAGUAUGUUCCAGCAAAAGAACAAGCUGAAACUCCAGAAACAGACGAAUAAAAUGGAGGCAGGUUUUUGGAAAGUGCCUACAGCUUCCUGAGAUCCCCGGUGUUACGGGAAAGUAAGCCAACCUGGUUUGAGGGUGAAGAGCCUUCCCAGCAGCCUUCACUGAGUGCUUGCCAAGUCCAGGAACGGCUUGGCCCAGUUACCACAGCGACACAGAGGCAGGCGUCCUUGCUCUUUGCAUUUGAUGAGCGGAAACCCAGAAGGAAGAACCGCGCCCCAAGUUACGUUAUAGACGCUGAACCAGGGCGGUCUGACUUCACAGUCCAGAGGCCCAUCACUGACAUCACAGAAGUAGAUCCUGUUAGAAAAGAUUCUUGAUGAAUGAGUGGGGCCCGUUCAUAGUCACACAAACCGAAAUGCCAUUUUUUAAAAACGUACACUGCUUGGCUGUUGUUUUUGAUUAUUGUUUGAACUGUUUCUGUUAGGAAGCAUGGUGGAGCCAAGACUCGCCUUUCUAGAAAG
Eptesicus fuscus (big brown bat) is the source of this 727-nucleotide long non-coding RNA. RefSeq lists it as uncharacterized. The record is from RefSeq and is a predicted model, not a curated record. The transcript is spliced from 3 exons. Lineage: Eukaryota; Metazoa; Chordata; Mammalia; Chiroptera; Vespertilionidae.